GUCUUAGCUUGCUAAGGCCGAUGGCGACCGGCGCACGGGUGAGUAACACGUAUCCAACCUGCCGUCUACUCUUGGACAGCCUUCUGAAAGGAAGAUUAAUACAAGAUGGCAUCAUGAGUCCGCAUGUUCACAUGAUUAAAGGUAUUCCGGUAGACGAUGGGGAUGCGUUCCAUUAGAUAGUAGGCGGGGUAACGGCCCACCUAGUCUUCGAUGGAUAGGGGUUCUGAGAGGAAGGUCCCCCACAUUGGAACUGAGACACGGUCCAAACUCCUACGGGAGGCAGCAGUGAGGAAUAUUGGUCAAUGGGCGAGAGCCUGAACCAGCCAAGUAGCGUGAAGGAUGACUGCCCUAUGGGUUGUAAACUUCUUUUAUAAAGGAAUAAAGUCGGGUAUGCAUACCCGUUUGCAUGUACUUUAUGAAUAAGGAUCGGCUAACUCCGUGCCAGCAGCCGCGGUAAUACGGAGGAUUCGAGCGUUAUCCGGAUUUAUUGGGUUUAAAGGGAGCGUAGAUGGAUGUUUAAGUCAGUUGUGAAAGUUUGCGGCUCAACCGUAAAAUUGCAGUUGAUACUGGAUAUCUUGAGUGCAGUUGAGGCAGGCGGAAUUCGUGGUGUAGCGGUGAAAUGCUUAGAUAUCACGAAGAACUCCGAUUGCGAAG
This 654-nucleotide ribosomal RNA is filed under the name uncultured Bacteroidales bacterium. RNAcentral describes it as "bacterial SSU rRNA". It matches the Rfam family "Bacterial small subunit ribosomal RNA", at positions 69 to 720 of the family's 1533-position model. The record is from RNAcentral. Lineage: Bacteria; Pseudomonadati; Bacteroidota; Bacteroidia; Bacteroidales.